AUGGCCUUCACCUCAAAACCACAACCACAACCACCACCACCACCACCACCACCAUAUCCUCGUCUAACUCACCACCACUACAACCAAAUGCAACCUCAGAUCCACAACCACAACUACAACAACAACAAUUACGACAACCAUUACCUCCUCCACCUCACAUCCAACUCACCACCACCACCACCUCCCCAAUUAACACAUCGUCACAUCACUAUCUUCACCUUAAAAACACCGUACUACAAUAAACCGUCCUUGUGUUCUGUAGAUUGGCAAGAAUGUUUCAUUAGAGAAUGAAGACGCAACAACAAUAAAGUAAGCUACAAAGCUAUCGGAACUCAUUCCAACAACAUAGUAUUUCUAAAUCCCUAAUUUUUUGAAAUGAUUCGGUGGGGACCAAACCCUUGAAUAAGGAUCAAUGUAGGUUUAGAAUUGGUUGUGGAAGAAUAAGUGUAUAUGGGACCCCUAGAAGUGCAUGGAGGUGUCGCCGUCAAUGAUUAUUGUUGCAGAAGACAUGUCGGUGCUGGCAAGACAUCGAUAAAGGUAGCUAUCGUACUAGGAGACAAAGCUAAGAUAGGAAGCUACCAUUGUAGUUGUCUAUGUACAACAUAGAAGAAAGAGCGAUGGAGUGAGCGAGGAUUAUAGAGAAAUAGGGAUGAAAGCAGGCAGUGGUGGAUGGUAGUUGAGAGGCGUCGCGUGUGGAUAUGGGAAAUAGGAGGUAGAAACGAAUUAAAUCACAGGGUAGGAUAGUGUGAAGUGGGGUGGGCUAUAGUAGAUGCCUUAGUUUUGGAAAGAUAAACUUAAAUUUUUUGAAGUAUUCAGGCAAAUUCAUUGUAGAUGAGCGAAUAAGAAUUUUAUUCUGUGCACAUGAAUUUUUGUUUAUGAUUGAAUAUUUUACCCAGUAUUUUUUGGUUGAAUUUUUUAUGUAAUAUUCUGGACAUUGUUGCCUCAAUCUGCAAACCAAUUCUAUGGUAUAUUCACCCCUUACAUAAUAUGUUUUUGUGUAAAUGAAUCUAAGCACAACAUUUAUCCAAACAUUUCCGAACUCGUUUUGUCACAACACAUUUCGUUUAAAAUAUUGCAUAUUUUUGUAGUGUCAUUUAUGUUUCCAUGAAAUACUGAACUACAUCUUCUUUUAAAAAAUACAAAAAUAUGAUUUGGCUGAAAUCUAUUUUAGCAGUUUUUAAAAUUGGAUCAAGCCAAGCCUCAUCACAUUUGAGUAUAUCUGAAAUCUCAUUUGAACAUGUCUUCUUCAUCCGAGUAAAUCCACAAUGGCACGAACCUUUUCUGAUAUAAACCAUGUGUUUCAAUUACCGUAAUAUUGAAAAUUUGAAACUGAAGUUAAUGAUCAUUUUAUUGUUCUAUAGUUUUUAAUUGCAUAAGAACUAUGACAUCAUUUGCGCACCACAAGGUAUACAUUACAAUCUUCCUAAACUUAUUUGCAUGAUUAUUAUGUAUCAGCUUCAAAUGAAUCCCUUAUCAAGAUUCAGACGAGAACAAGAAGAGUGUUGUAUUUUGGGGGGAUGAUGACUUGCACAUGCAACGGUUCCAUAUAGAUAGUGUACCGUGUCAACAUGCAUUAGUUGUCAUUGAGGAUCGAGGUGAGCAACCAUACAAUUACUUUGUUCAUGUCACCAUACGGAGUGCUAUCUUGUAUUGUACGUUGGAUGCAUCAUUCCACUUGGUGAUCAUGUCCAAUGAAAAGUUGACAAUUAUUGAUGUCGUGAUGAAAUAUUGUUGCCUAAGUCCAAGAGGCAACCUAGUUGAUCGAAGAAGACAAGGAGACGAAUGAGGGUGGAGUGUUUACAAACAAGUAGAUGCGGAAGGUAUGGUGGGAGGGGACACAACAAGAGAACCUAUAAGCAACCUCUCUCAUUGUGUCAUCUAAUGAUGUAUAAACAAGUUUCAACAGUGUAGAUGAAAGUGAAAAACAUAUGAGAUCGCACUUUCAUCUCCUUCCAAAUUACGAAUUAGUGAAAUCAUUGGUUUGCGGUUGAUUUGGUAUUAUUGUGGAAUCAUAUUUAUUGGUAAAAUUUAAAUUUUCCAUUCAUAUCUUUAUUUUCAAUAGUAAAAGACCAACACUGCCUAUUUGUAUUAUAUGUGAUGUUGAUAUGUUUCAAAUGAUCGAUGUAGCAAG
Molecule: long non-coding RNA, 2131 nt
Filed under: Olea europaea subsp. europaea
Lineage: Eukaryota; Viridiplantae; Streptophyta; Magnoliopsida; Lamiales; Oleaceae
Source: RNAcentral